GGGUGGAAGGACCGAGCCUGGAAGGAAACCCCGUGUGAAAUCCCCAGCCUGCUUUGCAGAUGUUGGGCUGCUUCUGGGUGAGAUUUUAGCUUUUGCAGAUGUCUGAAACGCUCCCGGUGGGCUUGGUGCCUCGCUGCAGUAAACACAGGGGGGAGCUGGAAGAAGUGGGGAGAGCCGUGAUGUCUUCCAGGAGCUGUCUCAGGAGAGGGACUGGACCAGCCUGAAGGCCACCAGAGCCAAAGCCCAGCAGCACAGCUUGGGACACAAGCAUCCCACACGCGGGACUAUUUUGAUGGAGCCGGAGAAGUGAUGACACAAAUAGCUGAUGACACAAAUAGUUCUGCUGGCGGAGCAGCAGAGGUGGCAACCUCUGGAUGGGAGCCAUGAGCAGCAGCUGCAGACAGGCACCUCUUCAUGGAGCUGGAACAGGAUGCACAGCCCAGGGCUCCUGUCACCAUCCCACCAGUAUCACCAGGAAAGCUGUGACCCGGAUGAGCCGUUCAGUCUCCUUCCUGCACAAUAGUUCUGCCUUCUGCCAGCUCUUGCCCUGAAAAGCUGCAGGUUC
RNAcentral lists this long non-coding RNA (565 nucleotides) under Gallus gallus (chicken). RNAcentral's name for it is "long non-coding RNA NONGGAT002164". Lineage: Eukaryota; Metazoa; Chordata; Aves; Galliformes; Phasianidae. The record is from RNAcentral.